This 148-nucleotide long non-coding RNA is filed under the name Lonchura striata (white-rumped munia). RNAcentral describes it as "domestica (Bengalese finch) lncRNA (ENSLSDG00000014225.1)". Lineage: Eukaryota; Metazoa; Chordata; Aves; Passeriformes; Estrildidae. The record is from RNAcentral.
UGAAUGAGCACAGCGGGCGGAGAGAGGGCUGAGCCUCACCCCUGACGGAUCGGGGCGCCGAAGAGGUUUUCUCAAGUUGAGGAAGUAGCAGGGCAUUUGGUUGGUACCUGACCCCAAAACGUAUGCUCUACCUUGAGAAGAGCUGAUG